AAAUCUGGUUGAUCCUGCCAGAGGCGACCGCUUUUGGAGUUCGAUUAAGCCAUGCGAGUCGAGAGUCUUAGGGACUCGGCAUACUGCUCAGUAACACGUGGAUAACCUGCCCUAUCGUCUGGAAUAACCUCGGGAAACUGAGAAUAAGGCCGGAUAGUUCACAAUGCCUGGAACGGUUUGUGGAUUAAGGUAGGAUGGGUCUGCGGCGUAUCAGGUCGUAGGGGGUGUAACGGACCCCCUAGCCAUCGACGCGUACGGGUGUUGGGAGACAUAGCCCGGAGAUGGAUUCUGAGACACGAAUCCAGACCCUACGGGGUGCAGCAGGCGCGAAAACUU
RNAcentral lists this ribosomal RNA (336 nucleotides) under Methanobacteriota archaeon. Its description in RNAcentral is "bacterial SSU rRNA". It matches the Rfam family "Archaeal small subunit ribosomal RNA", at positions 1 to 350 of the family's 1478-position model. The record is from RNAcentral. Lineage: Archaea; Methanobacteriati; Methanobacteriota.